This 292-nucleotide ribosomal RNA is filed under the name uncultured bacterium. Its description in RNAcentral is "partial 16S ribosomal RNA". It matches the Rfam family "Bacterial small subunit ribosomal RNA", at positions 505 to 796 of the family's 1533-position model. The record is from RNAcentral.
GUGCCAGCAGCCGCGGUAAUACGUAGGGUGCGAGCGUUGUCCGGAAUUAUUGGGCGUAAAGAGCUCGUAGGCGGUCUGUCGCGUCGAAUGUGAAAACCCGGGGCUCAACUCCGGGCUUGCAUUCGAUACGGGCAGGCUAGAGUUCGGUAGGGGAGUCUGGAAUUCCUGGUGUAGCGGUGAAAUGCGCAGAUAUCAGGAGGAACACCGGUGGCGAAGGCGGGACUCUGGGCCGAUACUGACGCUGAGGAGCGAAAGCGUGGGGAGCGAACAGGAUUAGAAACCCUCGUAGUCC